GAUGAACGCUAGCGAUAGGCCUAACACAUGCAAGUCGAGGGGCAGCAUAGAGUAGCAAUACUUUGAUGGCGACCGGCGCACGGGUGAGUAACACGUAUGCAACCUACCUACAUCAGGGGAAUAACCCGGAGAAAUUCGGACUAAUACCGCAUAAUACAGGGAUGCCGCAUGGCAAUAUUUGUUAAAGAUUUAUCGGAUGUAGAUGGGCAUGCGUUCCAUUAGCUUGUUGGUGAGGUAACGGCUCACCAAGGCAACGAUGGAUAGGGGAACUGAGAGGUUUGUCCCCCACACUGGAACUGAGACACGGACCAGACUCCUACGGGAGGCAGCAAUGAGGAAUAUUGGUCAAUGGACGAGAGUCUGAACCAGCCAAAUCGCGCGAAGGAAGACUGCCCUACGGGUUGUAAACUUCUUUUGUACAGGAAUAAAAGACAUUACGUGUAAUGUAUUGCAUGUACUGUACGAAUAAGCAUCGGCUAACUCCGUGCCAGCCGCCGUAACAC
RNAcentral lists this ribosomal RNA (503 nucleotides) under uncultured bacterium. RNAcentral's name for it is "partial 16S ribosomal RNA". It matches the Rfam family "Bacterial small subunit ribosomal RNA", at positions 28 to 526 of the family's 1533-position model. The record is from RNAcentral.